GAUGAUGGAGCUGAGUAGUAAAGCACUUGCCUAGCAUGCAGGAGGCUCUGGGUUUGAACCCUAGCACUGUAU
Molecule: transfer RNA, 72 nt
Filed under: Dipodomys ordii (Ord's kangaroo rat)
Lineage: Eukaryota; Metazoa; Chordata; Mammalia; Rodentia; Heteromyidae
Rfam family: tRNA
About the family: Transfer RNA (tRNA) molecules are approximately 80 nucleotides in length. Their secondary structure includes four short double-helical elements and three loops (D, anti-codon, and T loops).
Source: Rfam by way of RNAcentral